This 73-nucleotide transfer RNA is filed under the name uncultured Acidimicrobiales bacterium. RNAcentral's name for it is "tRNA-Thr-TGT". It matches the Rfam family "tRNA". Rfam says of the family: Transfer RNA (tRNA) molecules are approximately 80 nucleotides in length. Their secondary structure includes four short double-helical elements and three loops (D, anti-codon, and T loops). RNAcentral also lists the same sequence under 1 other name. Lineage: Bacteria; Bacillati; Actinomycetota; Acidimicrobiia; Acidimicrobiales. The record is from RNAcentral.
GCCGGGUUAGCUCAGCUGGUAGAGCACCUGUCUUGUAAACAGGAGGUCGUCGGUUCGAACCCGACACUCGGCU